UACGUAGGGAGCAAGCGUUGUCCGGAAUCACUGGGCUUAAAGCGCGUGUAGGCGGCCCGGCGCGUCGGAUGCUGAAAUCCCCCGGCUCAACCGGGGAAGGGGAGCCGAUACGGCCGGGCUGGAGGGGGGUAGGGGGCGCUGGAACUCACGGUGGAGCGGUGAAAUGCGUUGAGAUCGUGAGGAACGCCCGCGGCGAAAGCGAGCGCCUGGACCCUUUCUGACGCUGAGACGCGAAAGCCAGGGGAGCGAACGGG
RNAcentral lists this ribosomal RNA (254 nucleotides) under uncultured bacterium. RNAcentral's name for it is "partial 16S ribosomal RNA". It matches the Rfam family "Bacterial small subunit ribosomal RNA", at positions 524 to 776 of the family's 1533-position model. The record is from RNAcentral.